This is a long non-coding RNA of Bombus impatiens (common eastern bumble bee), 4652 nucleotides long. RefSeq lists it as uncharacterized. The record is from RefSeq and is a predicted model, not a curated record. NCBI's taxonomy places the organism in Eukaryota, Metazoa, Arthropoda, Insecta, Hymenoptera, Apidae. The transcript has 3 exons.
GGUAGCACACUUAGGGUGUCUGCCGCGUGCAACCGUGGUCUCUGCCCGCGCGUGUACAACCCGCGUACAUGUAGGAUCGCGAGGGUAUGUUGUGUACGUACGUCGGUUACGUAGCUACUUACGGUAGCUUCCGUGAUACAUGGAGGUCGCACCUAAAUUUCCCCUGGGAGUCAUACGUCUCUUCGGCCUCUCGGCAACCCUCUCUAUUUUCCUGUGUUUCUAGCCUCCUCUUUUUCUCUCCCGCUCGAUCUUUGUGACCAUUUUCUCUUCCUCUUUUUGCAUCUUUCCUCCUCCAACAGCGAUCUUGCCUUUCGUUUUUCCCCUUCUCUCUCUUGAGCGCAUAGCUCUCGAACGUUUACCGAGAACCAAAGAUCAAACGUUGGGCCUGGUUGUGGAGAAAAAAAGCGCUUUCUUGGUUCGCGACCGGCGGUAUGCAUUAAAAUAAUUGAACGGGAACAGAUUCCGUCUGGGUGUCGUUACGAUUCCUCUCUACUUCGUAUUUCAAUUUCUUUGCUCUCGUCUGCCAAAUCCGCAGAUACGACGCGAUUUCAUUACAAGCGAUCGUUACAAGAUUUCCUCUUUGAUUUUCCGUCCAUUUUCGCAACAAGAUGGAAGAUUUGCAAUUACAAGAGUAGUAAAAGUAAAAUUGUGAGUAAAUUGAUAAUUCGAUCGAUGCCUAUUUCAACACAUUCGCGGGUAAUUUUACAAAAAUGUUUCAAUCGGAAGCCACGAGCUCCAGUAAUUAAGACAACGACAUAAAUAUACAUACAAAUAUUAUCUUUGGAGUUACUAAUAAUGUAAUUGUUCUACGAGAUUACGCUUGAACCACGAAAAAAUAUAUUAGUCGGUUUCCAUUAACGCGUUAGUCUGAUUUUCGACGGCUUUGCACAAUUGCACUUAGAUCAACGAAAUCAAGGCCGGUCAACGAUCGCGUUCUACGCGACCUGGUAGCAUCAGGCGGAUUAAACGCGUCUCGUUCUCGAGAGAUAUUAAAAGCCGCGAUAAUAAAGCUAUAUCGCGUUGAUCUUAUCCUUUCCUCGUGUCGCGCGUUUUUAAUAAAAACUACCCCCUCCCCUCUCGCUUGUUAUCGUGAAUCCAAGCAGGACGUUCCAACGUUGCGCGCAAUUUUUGCGGAAAUGCGUCUUACUGAAAUUUUCAUGCAUACGUUAUUGUAAUGUCUAAUAAAACGCACGAUACCGCCACAGUUGAGGGUGGCGAAAGAUGGAGCGUGGAACGACGACGUGGCCGUUGCAAUUUUUGGAGAAAUAUCGUCGCGGCUCGCGUAAUUUGCGUCGAUGGGCCACAUCUGGCUAGCUGGGCGUGCGUUGUAUACCUCCGGAAUAAUAAAUUGGCUGGCGACCGUUCUGUGCCAGAAGCGACGCUUCUUCGAGGGAUGCUCGCGACGAGCUUAAAGCGGUAUUAUUGAAAUUGCGAUCUACCGCCGCGGAGCUUUUAAUAACCCCACGUGAUAUCGUCGGAUAUUUUGUCAGGAAAAUGGUAUAAACAGAGAAACAAGCGGUAUAAGCGGCGCAAACUUGCAUUUCAUUCCGUAAUGACUUUUGCAGUUACCGUGCCGCCACGUUCAACGGAGAAUCAUUUAAAUAAUAAAUUAAAAGCUUGUCACAUUUGUAUUUGGUAAAUUGAAACGAUCAAUUCGAUGGUAGCAGGAAACGAGCAGCUGGACGGCCGCAGGGGUUAGUCGAAUUAGUGGAAGGAGCGAAUCAAGCUCCUUUAAAUGAUUAAAGCGAGCCAGGGAGGCGCGGGGCGACGUGAUUCGAUGUUGGCGAUGCUCAUCGAUUCCGUCGUAUGAUCAAAGCGCGACCCGUGGAUUAAAUUUUUGAAUGGAUGGUAGUUACCGUUGCCGAGUGAAAUCAAAGAAACGAGAAAGGGAGAAUCAAAGGAUGGUACGCGUUAAGCUCAUUUCGUCACGUACCACUAAUCGCGUGAAAUAGUUCUACGAAGAAAUUUCCAGCCCUGACCGUAACAGACCGAGAGUCUCUCAAAGAGUAAUAAAAUUUUAUUGUCUGUUAAAAUUAGAACAGUCUCCUUUAUAUCGCGAAGUUACGAAUUAAAACAUCUAAUUGAGCCUAUUGACGCAGAGACGCCUGUCGUCAGAAUAAUAUUUUAUGUUUCUUAAAAAAUAUCCAGCCAAGUAGUAAGUAAGCUAAGUUGUAAUGAACUAUGAGACGAAUUUUAACGUUUCUGUCAACUAACGAGUUCCAAGUAUCUUGAGCAUAAACAUUGCGUUAACUGCGCCGUAUACACGCGCUCUAAAUAUAAUUAUACAAGCACAACUGUUAACCACUUAACGCGAGUAAAUUAAGACAGUUGCAGUUGCAACGGAAGAGACAAUUAAGAGAACAUUAGCCUCGUGUUGCAUAAUGUUGAUGAACCUUGGUUCGUCGAUAGACUGCUUUUAAAAACAGAGGAUCUCCACUUUCACGAGAUUUUACCGCAGAAAUUUCGUUCUGUUCGAGUGUCAUUAGCGGGAAGUGGCUUAGCCGCUCGUUCUCACCGCUAGAGUGGAUUUUGUAACUCGAGCUUGUCUACUUUUACGCGUGUCACCCUUUCCAGGGGAGGAGGAAGGGUCGAUCGUGUGUCAGCGUGUAGAUGCGCGUGCACACAGGGAAGAGCAGCAGAAGAAACACUCGCGAAAAAAGAGAGAAACGACAAGGAAAGGGGGUGAAAAACAGUGCAACAGGGGGGAGAAGGUUGGUCGUAACGACGAAUAGAAUAGACGUAUAAAAUGUCGCGAGGAAGGCGUGUUUGGUCUCCCGCAAUUUCCACGGGAUCGACGAACCCAGCCAGCCGGCUUAUUAACUUUUAUGAGGGAACACCAGGCGGACGAGUGAGAAAAGGACAGAAGGAACGCCACGGAGGGAAGCACCGCGUGGAAAAAGAAGCCACCGAGCGCCAUUUGCAGUUCGCGAAAAUACUCCGGCACCCUUUUCUCAAUGGAAUACACAGAGGAUUAUUAAUUUCUCUACGUUAGCUCGAUUCAGGCUACAGGUGCCCCUACAGGAUAUAUCAGAGAAAACAAUACGCUAAAUAUCGUAAUCGUUCUAGUCUCUCGACUAGAUGACUACGACUACGAGAUGAAAGAUGUUUGACAAAGCAGGUGCGAAAUGUAAGAAGAUAGGUCGAAACGCAUCGGGGAAAGGGAAUGAAAAUGCGCAGGAAUGAAUGAGAAAGGAAAGGCAAAGGGAAGUGCACGAAAAAGUUGCAAAGGAAAAAGUCUGAUGCCAUCGAGCUUUGUGUAACGCCGAACCUAUCCGUUGCGCAUCGACGUUUCCUCCUCAUGAGAAAAUGACCACAAAAAGGUCGGGAAAGAGACAAACGGGGGGAAAAAAGGACAAAAAAUAGGAAGAAAAGAACGGAAGAAAGGAUAAAGAAUGGGACGAAGGAACGAUGGGGUUCAGCCAAUUACCUACAUCCUCUGGCAAACCAUUGGCAUGGUUGGUCCAAACCAUUUGAGAGGUUGCAAUUUUCUCUAUUCUUGUACCGACGACCACAACGAACGCCACUGGCCAUCACGAGUUUCUAGAAAAUUUGUACGUCACGGGAACAAACUGAAUCGAGAGGUUUAUCGCGUUUUGGCUCGUGUAACAGGACAGAGCGGUAGGCAUCAAUUUCGAGGCACACUCCACGACGGAUAUUCGCGGCACGGUAUCGUUUAUUUUGAUUUGCUGGAUUCGUUAUCGACUGCCCCCGUUUGCGACGAGGGUGCUCAGUGCUUGGGAUUAAGAGAUUUCGAUGGGGAAUUUAUGGCGCGGGCUUCUUCGCUGCUGGGACUUCAUAAAUACAACGUUAGGUAGUUCGGAACACAACCCUGUUUCGCGGAUCGGACAUUCGUUUCGCUGUCGUUAGUUCCAGUUCUUUUCUUAGUCGGAGUAAGUGGUGUAAAAUAUUUUCUCGUUACUUUAAUGUCUUUGUAUUUUGUAGUGGUUUAUCGGUAGCAGAGGAGAAAUCGAUAGAAUCGCUCUUCCAAAUCAUUGAGAUGAUAAAAGCCGUUUCGAUACGCGAAUUUCGAGAUUCGGGGAAUAUUAUGUCGAGCUUGCGAGUCUUUGGCCUGGUUCUGGAUAUAUGUCUCGCGUGUGAUUUUGUGUCACCACGGGCGUCAGCGAAUUUUGAGUUCUCUGUGGAAUAUGUAGGAGUCGGUUGGCGUGCAGCGCGCGUUCCUUGUCAACGAUCCAGAUAAUCGCAAAUAUUCCACCGACACGACGUUAUUUUUUGCUCUUGAAACCGAAGAAAAUUAGAAAUUGAAACCGAGUUCGUUGAUCUCGUCGAAUCGCUCGUAACAAAACAGAAUUAUGCCAGAGGCGUGAAAUUACAUUGAGCACCCAGCAUUAUGAAACGGUGGCUCGUGUGAACGGAGCUUAAUGUAAAAUAAACGAAAUAGCUCGCGAGGUCGAAAGAUAUCCGGCAAUUUAAAUUGUUUUCCCGAAUUGUUGCAACGUUACGAUGGAUUUUUCCAAGUCGCGAGUUUACUAUGGUUAUACAAACAUUCGAUCGAUUAUCGGCAAACUGUGUAGCAUCCAAGAUGUUUAUUUUACAUUGCUACUAGGAUGGAACAAAGAAAGCGGAAAGUGGAACGACAAAUGGAAAAUUAAAGAAAGCGAGUCACCGGAACGAUAAGGCCCGAAGGGAGGGUG